This 83-nucleotide transfer RNA is filed under the name Colletotrichum sublineola. It matches the Rfam family "tRNA". Rfam says of the family: Transfer RNA (tRNA) molecules are approximately 80 nucleotides in length. Their secondary structure includes four short double-helical elements and three loops (D, anti-codon, and T loops). RNAcentral also lists the same sequence under 1 other name. The record is from Rfam by way of RNAcentral. Lineage: Eukaryota; Fungi; Ascomycota; Sordariomycetes; Glomerellales; Glomerellaceae.
GGCCGGUUGGCCCAAUGGCAAGGCGUCUGACUACGAUAAAGUAGGGUAUCAGGAGAUUCUGGGUUCGACCCCCAGGCUGGUCA